UCUAACAACAAAAACAUAAUAUUAACUAACAUUUAUUACAAAUUACAAUGUUAUUAGUGUAGGUACUAAGGAUAUUACCAUACAAGUAUUAGUAUUAUUGAUACAACAGAUGUUACACCGUUAUUACCAUAAUACUAUGAUAGGUAGGCGUAUGUCAUUUUUUAAAACGCACUUACUUUAUCAAGGUUCCAAAAGAUAAUUUGUAAUAUAUUUAGAUAUAAGACGUACAUACUUCUAAACUACAGUAUGGUUUUAAACACAAUCGGACGCAAACGAUUGAUCAAAAAUAAAAGUGCUCGACAGCGCAGUGUAGCCGGUGACGAUCAUGUAUGGGUAGGACGUAUUCUAUUAUACAACUGACUGACUAUGUGACCAUAUUGACCAAAUAUGACAAAAGAUAUUUCGAUUUUCAGCAGCAGGCUCGCAAGUAUUCAGUAUACAACAUAUACCGCGGUGGCCAAGUUUAUACCACGGUCUAGGCGACAGACUUGAUACCACAGUCGAUUCGACCUUAUGCGAUAACUGCCAGCGGGUAACUGAGAUAUUUUUGGUUGGCCCGACAAACAUAUAUCUAUACUCUAUAGGUAUUGUUAUUUUAGUUUUGUACUUAUCUAUGGUCUGUCUUAAAGAAAUCGUUGGCCGCUGAUGGCUUAUCCACCGAUCAUCGGAUGCGACGAUACUCGACGAUUUUCCUUCAAACCCUUUUCUCAUCACCUUUCAAUAAUUCGAAAAAUGUUGUAUACAGUGUGACGAAAUGUGGAUUGUUUUUGAAUGUAGAAAGUAUGAAUAUAUUUGAGAGCGUCAUCACUUAUCAUCAGACGAAACGCGUCACCUGUUUCUAUCAAGUCAAAAGUGAUGGGUUAAUGUAAAACGACUAUGUAUAUACUUCAAAAGGCUGUUUCAAAGACAUUACUUGUAUCGGGAUGCAUCUAAGGUUUAUAACUUAUUAAAGUUACACUUAAAUACCAGCUGUGUGCAGUGAGCAUAUUAUUAUAAUAUUUUAGGUGAGUGAAAUUCGAAUAAUUCUUGUGCUUCAGAGUUAAUUAAAUAAAAUAAAUAAAAGGGUAAUAUUUUUAUUAAAAAUAGAAACCAUCAUCUAAACUUUCAAUUCGAACUAACGUCUUAAACUUCAAUAAUAUACUAAAUAAUACUAAAUCCAUACAGAUAAACUAAAUAUCUACAGAAAGAACAUUCGCUAAAAGUUUUAUCUGGUCCCCACAUUUACACAAAAGGAGAAUCUUACGUACUUACUUAUGAAACAACAGAAAAACACUUGCUGCAUAACCUAUUAUCUAAAUCAUCUAAACUCACCAUGCGUUCUUGAUAAAUAUUUACUUCAUCUUAAGCCCAUAUGGCAUAUCUAUGACUCUGCCAAAAAAUGUACUGUAAACAAAUAUCCAAACAUUCCAAUAAAAACCCUUUGUUUAACUAAAAACGCAUUGUUAUAUACCAUAAACCUUACUACACUACUACCUAUGCAAUUUUAUCUGCGCAUAAUAUGUUAACUGUUGAAGACACUAUAUAACCUAACCUAACAUAACCACUCCAAAUAAAUCGACAAAAUAUGCUUAUAGCUAAUAGGUAUGUAAGGUGCAAUAAAUAUGCUUAAAAUCUACCCCCUGCUCAAAUCAGUGUGGCGCCAUGAAUUAUUAGUACAUACAAUCGUAACGAUUUAAGUGUAACUAUGGUGAGUAAAAAUUACAUUUAAAUUAAAUUAAAUCCAUUACAUGGACAAAUUUAACAACUAACAAAAAAUGAAACUAAUUGUACAUAAAAAUAAUGUAUGUAUUAUAUCGAGUGCGGAUCCAAUCGGAUCUGGAAACAAACCCGCUUGUUCAACAAAAAAACAUAACAUCGUUAAUUAGUAAAAAUUAGCAUGGUUCAAAUAUUUUUAAUUUGAGUGCCCUCUCCGUGCACAGUUCUGGUUCCACCCUUGGAUCACAUAUUAGUACAAUUAAAAAAAAAAAAUAGUUUAAUAUGAAAGUCUAAAAUACCUACUUAAGUCUUUAUUAUAAUGCUAAUUUAAUGCUUAAAAUCUAGAAUAUAUUAGGUAUAUACACUGUACAUUACCUAUACAGACAUCUAUAAAAUUGUAAAUAUCACAAUUUGAAUAGAUUUAUAAUUGAAGCGUAAAAAUUGACUGAGCGUACUUAAUACAGAAUUAAAAAAAUAUGUUGUUGCAUUGAUGUCGUACCUACCUACUUCAAAAGCUUAUCAAAUGGUGCAUCAACAAAAUCACUGUACAUUUAACUUCACUUGAUCCCCAAUAAUUAUUAAUUAUAAUAAACGUUUUAAUAUAAUAUCCAGGUCUAAAAUAUCUAGCCAAUAAACCACAAUAAUUCUUCUGGGCGCCAAUACAAAUUGAUGAGUUAUUAAUGUAAGUAUUUAAAAUGAUAAAAGUGAUAUAAUAAAAAAAAAUAAUCAAACUGUAUACAAAUCGUAUUAUACUAUAUUAAAUAUUGUACCCACCUAACAAAAUAUGAAAUCUAUAGAUCGUAAUGUUGUUUGUUGCAUGUCAAAAAAGAAAAGGGCAGCAGGUAAACGCCUAGCUACAGAACUGCAGUAGAACUCGAGUGUACAUAGCCAUUGAGUAGGUCAGUGUAAUGGAUGUGUUAAAUUUCAAUUCAACGACAAAUCAUUGUAAUUGAUAAAAACGAUUCUGAGCGAAUAUGGUACUUCAUAACAUUUUGGUAUAACGAAGGUCAUUUCUGAAUAUUUUGAGAAGAACUGGGAAUUUUUCACUUUUGAUCCUACUAGAUCCAAUGUGCUAAGUAAAACCACCCUAAAUGUUCAAAAUUUAAGCAUUUUUUCUAAUAUGGAAAUAAAAAACUUUCAUUAUUGCUUAAAGUCAAUAAGUACAAUCUCUCCGUUUCAGAAUCAAAAAUAUAUAACAAUUUAUAAGCAUUUAUAUUUAUGUGUUAUAAGGUAAAUUAUAUUUAUGGGUGCCUAAUUGAUAAUAAAUAACGUUCUUAUUUUUCAAAAACAUUCAUAAUAUUCGCGUUAAAAUCCGUGGCAACAAGGCGCCGGGCAACAAUACCCAACCUCUGAAAUGCUACGCUAUAAUAUGUUACGUCUUAUAAGUUUAACUAAAUGUCCAAUCAUGCCCAAUAGGUACAUAAUAGUAUUGUGUAGUUGAUUUUCAAUUCCCAUUUUAUAUUGUAACUACAGACUUAUUAUCAUGUAUAUUAUUUAAGUGUUUAAGUAUAUUGACGAUGGCGUCAGUUCUAUUACAAAAACAUUUGUUGUUCAACCUGUAAAAGGACGCAUGUAAGGAAAAAUAACAUUUUGCACGAUAAAUACAUUAUAUUAUAAAAUCAAUUAUGUAUAAGGAAACGUAUAAAAUUUAGCUAUAAAUUUAAAUAAUUAUAUCUAUGUAUGUACCUAUUUAUAUAUUAUGUUAAUGUGGUUAAAACCACGAAAAUGUUAUGACUAGAGAUCAACAAAAAAAAAAAUUAAUAAAAAUAAUAAAUAAAAUAAAAAGGAAGUCUUUGUUCAUAUCAGAUUAAAAUAUCGUUCUUAAUACUGACCAUUUAUAAUUAUUACAAAUAAUAUGCCUUUUCUUUAUUGUGGUAUAGGCACAUGCACACAUACUAUUUAAUAACAUGGAAAAUGUACAAAAAUUAAAAUAAAUUGAACACACAUAGACCGACUUUAAAUGACUUAAUUAUAUGCAAUUGAAACUCGUCAAAACUAUAGUUAGGUACUUAGUUAAUACACUUAAUAAUUAUAGUUAUUAGGGACAAAUUUAUCUUAAUCUACGAUUAUCUUUAAUUUAAAUUUUCAUACCAUAUUAUAUUGUACUAAAAAACGGUAUUCUAAUUCCGAGGAUAAAUAUGUUCAUGGUGCAUACAGUUUUAAAAAUUAUAUAUAAUCAGAUAAAAUUGACUUAAAAAAUGUCAAACGGAAAAACAUUCCGACCAUUUUGAAGCGGCAUUGUAUUUUGUAUAAUUGUAUAAAUAACAGGCUGG
Molecule: long non-coding RNA, 3968 nt
Organism: Myzus persicae (green peach aphid)
Lineage: Eukaryota; Metazoa; Arthropoda; Insecta; Hemiptera; Aphididae
Exons: 2
Source: RefSeq, a predicted model, not a curated record